CUCAAUGCGGGUGCCUAUACAUGCAGUUGAGCGCUGAAGGUUGGUACUUGUACCAACUGGAUGAGCAGCGAACGGGUGAGUAACGCGUGGGGAAUCUGCCUUUGAGCGGGGGACAACAUUUGGAAACGAAUGCUAAUACCGCAUAAAAACUUUAAACACAAGUUUUAAGUUUGAAAGAUGCAAUUGCAUCACUCAAAGAUGAUCCCGCGUUGUAUUAGCUAGUUGGUGAGGUAAAGGCUCACCAAGGCGAUGAUACAUAGCCGACCUGAGAGGGUGAUCGGCCACAUUGGGACUGAGACACGGCCCAAACUCCUACGGGAGGCAGCAGUAGGGAAUCUUCGGCAAUGGACGAAAGUCUGACCGAGCAACGCCGCGUGAGUGAAGAAGGUUUUCGGAUCGUAAAACUCUGUUGGUAGAGAAGAACGUUGGUGAGAGUGGAAAGCUCAUCAAGUGACGGUAACUACCCAGAAAGGGACGGCUAACUACGUGCCAGCAGCCGCGGUAAUACGUAGGUCCCGAGCGUUGUCCGGAUUUAUUGGGCGUAAAGCGAGCGCAGGUGGUUUAUUAAGUCUGGUGUAAAAGGCAGUGGCUCAACCAUUG
This 600-nucleotide ribosomal RNA is filed under the name Lactococcus lactis. Its description in RNAcentral is "bacterial SSU rRNA". It matches the Rfam family "Bacterial small subunit ribosomal RNA", at positions 36 to 618 of the family's 1533-position model. Lineage: Bacteria; Bacillati; Bacillota; Bacilli; Lactobacillales; Streptococcaceae. The record is from RNAcentral.